UCUCGGCAAACAUAAGCCUCGCCUGUUUACCAAAAACAUCGCCUCCUGCAAAAGCAACGUAUAGGAGGUCCAACCUGCCCAGUGAAAAUUAAACGGCCGCGGUAUUUUGACCGUGCAAAGGUAGCGCAAUCACUUGUCUUUUAAAUAAAGACCUGUAUGAACGGUGAAACGAGGGCUUAACUGUCUCCCCCCUCUGAUCAGUGAAAUUGACCUACCCGUGCAGAGGCGGGUAUAAAUAUACAAGACGAGAAGACCCUAUGGAGCUUAAGACACAAAGUCAACUUUGUCAAAAAUUCUCAAACACAAGAAUUAAACAAAAUAGCAACUGACUGACGUCUUCGGUUGGGGCGACCACGGAGGAAAGCAAAUCCCCCAUGUGGGCUGGGAUAUUCCUAAAACCAAGAGACACACCUCUAAGCCACAGAACUUCUGACCAAGAGAUCCGGUACUAACCGAUCAACGGACCAAGUUACCCUAGGGAUAACAGCGCAAUCCACUCUAAGAGUCCAUAUCGACGAGGGGGUUUACGACCUCGAUGUUGGAUCAGGACAUCCYAAUGGUGCAA
This 565-nucleotide ribosomal RNA is filed under the name Brittanichthys axelrodi. RNAcentral's name for it is "partial large subunit ribosomal RNA". The record is from RNAcentral. Lineage: Eukaryota; Metazoa; Chordata; Actinopteri; Characiformes; Acestrorhamphidae.